RNAcentral lists this long non-coding RNA (236 nucleotides) under Capsicum annuum. RNAcentral describes it as "long non-coding RNA (CANN_LNC015820)". The record is from RNAcentral. Lineage: Eukaryota; Viridiplantae; Streptophyta; Magnoliopsida; Solanales; Solanaceae.
AAUCGAUAACUACAAUCUCAAAACCUGAGUUAAACCACUUAAACUUAAUUAUCCAAAUAACAAGUAAACAUCAACACACUGAAAUCUAUCUCUCAAGCUAUUAUUUAAAAAGUUGACAAUCAUAAUUGGAGUCAACUGAUCUUCACUAAUGUCAAAUACCCAAAUAGUUCUCACAAGGGAUGAAACUAAAAUAUUUUCAAAGAACAUAACCACCAAUAGGCAAACAAUAGGCUAAA